RNAcentral lists this unclassified non-coding RNA (228 nucleotides) under Ixodes scapularis (black-legged tick). RNAcentral's name for it is "juvenile hormone acid O-methyltransferase-like, transcript variant X2". Lineage: Eukaryota; Metazoa; Arthropoda; Arachnida; Ixodida; Ixodidae. The record is from RNAcentral.
CCACCCUCGCAUGCGAGGUUUACUCGACAGAAGCCUUCUACCACAGCCUUGCAGAUGUUCUGGGAUCUCGACACUUGGAACAUUGCAGCAGCGGUAGAAGGAAAGGCUGCUUUGCUGGCUACAGUGACACUGCUACCGGGCUGGUGGGAUGCAGGUGGUGUAACCCGGUGCAAGCGGCUUGCAUAGUAGAACAGUCACUAAGGCCGGAGUUGUGGAACUGCAUAAAGA